CUGUUACGGGAUGUUGUAUAGGCUGUGUUACCGCCUGGUUAAGUGCUGUUUUAUAGAAUGUGUUACCGCCUGGUUAAGUGCUGUUUUAUAGGCUGUGUACCGCCUGGUUAAGGGCUGUUUAACAGGCUGUGUUACCGCCUGGUUAAGGGCUGUUUUACAGGCUGUGUUACCGCCUGGUUACGGGAUGUUUUACAGGCUGUGUUACCGCCUGUUACGGGAUGUUUUACAGGCUGUGUUACCGCCUGUUACGGGAUGUUUUAUAGGCUGUGUUACCGACUGGUUACGGGAUGUUUUACAGAAUGUGUUACCGCCUGGUUAAGUGCUGUUUUAUAGGCUGUGUUACCGCCUGGUUACCGGUAGUUGUAUAGGCUGUGCUACCGCCUGGUUAAGUGCUGUUUUAUAGAAUGUGUUACCGCCUGGUUAAGUGCUGUUUUAUAUGCUGUGUUACCGCCUGGUUAAGGGCUGUUUUACAGGCUGUGUUACCGCCUGGUUACGGGAUGUUUUACAGGCUGUGUUACCGCCUGUUACGGGAUGUUUUAUAGGCUGUGUUACCGACUGGUUAAGGGCUGUUUUAUAGGCUGCGUUACCACCUGGUUAAGGGCUGUUUUGUCUCCAUCCCUAUGCUCAGUGGGUGCGUUCCAGUUGGCACCCUAUUCCAAAAGUAGUGCACUAUUUUUGACGAGGGCCCGUAGGGUAUUGGAGUGGGAUUCAUUGAAGCAAUAAGAGACAUGGGGGAAUACACCAUCAAAUCAGUCUAAAUGACAGGAUGAAGAGUUUUAAAAACAGCAAAGAGAUUAAAAAAAUACAUUUAAAGAAUUAGAAGUGUUUAGUGGAGGAAAUUCACUUUUUAUAACACUGAAAAUAACAAGAAUAUCACCGGUUCUCUUUCAAUUCUCCCCAGAAUCUCUUCCAAACACCAUAAGAAUCUCACUCCAAUCCUCCUCUGACCUCUCUCUGACCUCUCUCUGCCUUCCUCUGACCUCUCUCUGACCUCUCUCUGCCUUCCUCUGACCUCUCUCUGACCUCUCUCUGACCUCUCUCUGACCUCUCUCUGCCUUCCUCUGACCUCUCUCUGACCUCUCUCUGACCUCUCUCUGCCUCUCUCUGACCUCUCUCUGCCUUCCUCUGACCUCUCUCUGACCUCUCUCUGCCUUCCUCUGACCUCUCUCUGACCUCUCUCUGCCUUCCUCUGACCUCUCUCUGACCUCUCUCUGCCUUCCUCUGACCUCUCUCUGACCUCUCUCUGACCUCUCUCUGCCUUCCUCUGACCUCUCUCUGACCUCUCUCUGACCUCUCUCUGCCUCCCUCACGUCUCUCCUCUGACCUCUCCUCUGACCUCUCUCUGCCUUCCUCUGACCUCUCUCUGACCUCUCUCUGCCUUCCUCUGACCUCUCUCUGCCUUCCUCUGACCUCUUUCUGACCUCUCUCUGCCUUCCUGUGACCUCUCUGCCUUCCUCUGACCUCUCUCUGCCUUCCUCUGACCUCUCUCUGCCUUCCUCUGACCUCUCUCUGACCUCCUCUGCCUUCCUCUGACCUCUCCCUGAC
This 1545-nucleotide long non-coding RNA is filed under the name Salmo salar (Atlantic salmon). Its description in RNAcentral is "lncRNA (ENSSSAG00000104863.1)". Lineage: Eukaryota; Metazoa; Chordata; Actinopteri; Salmoniformes; Salmonidae. The record is from RNAcentral.